AGUGAACGCUGGCGGUAGGCCUAACACAUGCAAGUCGAACGGCAGCACAGUAAGAGCUUGCUCUUACGGGUGGCGAGUGGCGGACGGGUGAGGAAUACAUCGGAAUCUACUUUUUCGUGGGGGAUAACGUAGGGAAACUUACGCUAAUACCGCAUACGGCCUACGGGUGAAAGCAGGGGAUCUUCGGACCUUGCGCGAUUGAAUGAGCCGAUGUCGGAUUAGCUAGUUGGCGGGGUAAAGGCCCACCAAGGCGACGAUCCGUAGCUGGUCUGAGAGGAUGAUCAGCCACACUGGAACUGAGACACGGUCCAGACUCCUAGGGGAGGCAACAGUGGGGAAUAUUGGACAAUGGGCGCAAGCCUGAUCCAGCCAUACCGCGUGGGUGAAGAAGGCCUUCGGGUUGUAAAGCCCUUUUGUUGGGAAAGAAAAGCAGCAGGUUAAUACCCCGCUGUUCUGACGGUACCCAAAGAAUAAGCACCGGCUAACUUCGUG
Molecule: ribosomal RNA, 492 nt
Filed under: uncultured bacterium
Lineage: Bacteria
Description: partial 16S ribosomal RNA
Rfam family: Bacterial small subunit ribosomal RNA
Source: RNAcentral